Molecule: unclassified non-coding RNA, 140 nt
Filed under: uncultured Monographella
Lineage: Eukaryota; Fungi; Ascomycota; Sordariomycetes; Xylariales
Description: sequence contains ITS1
Source: RNAcentral
CUGAGUUUUCAACUCUCCAAACCAUGUGAACUUACCACUGUUGCCUCGGUGGUUGGUGCCCCUAGGGCGCUGCCGCCGGUGGACAAACUAAACUCUUUGUCAACUUUGUCAAGUCUGAAUCUAAACUAAGAAAUAAGUUA